RNAcentral lists this ribosomal RNA (253 nucleotides) under uncultured bacterium. RNAcentral's name for it is "partial 16S ribosomal RNA". It matches the Rfam family "Bacterial small subunit ribosomal RNA", at positions 524 to 776 of the family's 1533-position model. The record is from RNAcentral.
UACGGAGGGUGCAAGCGUUAUCCGGAUUCACUGGGUUUAAAGGGUGCGUAGGUGGGCCGGUAAGUCAGUGGUGAAAUCUCCGGGCUUAACUCGGAAACUGCCGUUGAUACUAUCUGUCUUGAAUAUCGUGGAGGUUAGCGGAAUAUGUCAUGUAGCGGUGAAAUGCUUAGAUAUGACAUAGAACACCAAUUGCGAAGGCAGCUCGGUACACGAAUAUUGACUCUGAGGCACGAAAGCGUGGGGAGCAAACAGG